AAAUUGAAGAGUUUGAUCAUGGCUCAGAUUGAACGCUGGCGGCAGGCCUAACACAUGCAAGUCGAACGGUAACAGGAAGCAGCUUGCUGCUUCGCUGACGAGUGGCGGACGGGUGAGUAAUGUCUGGGAAACUGCCUGAUGGAGGGGGAUAACUACUGGAAACGGUAGCUAAUACCGCAUAACGUCGCAAGACCAAAGAGGGGGACCUUCGGGCCUCUUGCCAUCGGAUGUGCCCAGAUGGGAUUAGCUUGUUGGUGGGGUAACGGCUCACCAAGGCGACGAUCCCUAGCUGGUCUGAGAGGAUGACCAGCCACACUGGAACUGAGACACGGUCCAGACUCCUACGGGAGGCAGCAGUGGGGAAUAUUGCACAAUGGGCGCAAGCCUGA
Molecule: ribosomal RNA, 389 nt
Filed under: Escherichia coli
Lineage: Bacteria; Pseudomonadati; Pseudomonadota; Gammaproteobacteria; Enterobacterales; Enterobacteriaceae
Also listed under: 2 other names
Description: bacterial SSU rRNA
Rfam family: Bacterial small subunit ribosomal RNA
Source: RNAcentral